ACAUAUGUGAGGUUGUUGGAAGGAUAGGGUCAGCAGAUGUGGGUAGUGGGGACCUCUGUGGAUAAAGGCCCUUUACCUGUAGGAGGCAUUCACCAAGUCUAUCGAAGGCUUCUCUAUGCCACUCACUGUGAGAUGCAGGAUAGGGAUUGAUCUGGGUCCAGCUCUCCUGGGCCUGUCUCAAGACCUUGAGAGAGGCAGUGUUCAGAGACACCUGCAAAUAGAACUUUCCUGAUUAGAGUGGUAUGUUGGAUACUGUGAUUUCCCCCGAUAUCCAUUUCUCCCCUUUUUAGAAAUGGAGUAUCUCCAUCUUCCUCAAUUUUAGCAAGGUCCAUCUCACAGCCUCCCUUGCAGCUAGAUGUUACCACCCAAACAAGCUCUGGCCAAUGAACCUAAGUCGAAAUGAUGAUCUACCCAUUACCUGCCACCCACCUUGCCACUGCCUGUUGGCCUAGGAUUGGCAAGCAGUGGAUCUUUGGCCCUGGGCCGGAAGCUGUGGGUUAGGGAUAGCAGAGUGGCCUUGUCAGCCCAGGAGAAUUCUUUCCGCCUGGACAGUGAGUGUGUUUGGAGCUUUCAGCUGCUUCAUUUUAGCUGUGCUGUAUCCAAAACUAGUAACUGAAGCCACGUGUGUUCUCAAGUUCCCCAUGGGUAUGCCUCUGGAAUGAAAAGAUUUACGGAGGACAGAUUGGAGGCUGUGGAACUUCAAUGUGCAGGGCAGCAAAGACUGUAAUGACUCAAGUUCUAGAUAGCACAGGUAUUCGGUGGUAAUUAGGUGGGAUGUGUAUUAAGACUGCAUUUAUGCAGCAAGCACAUUGCAGUUGCUUAAUUGUAUUUAUUUGGGUUUGUGUGCCUGAAGGGCUGAUGGAGAUUAAAGUGGGACUNGGGGUGAGGGUAUUGUGACACAGCCCUUU
This 908-nucleotide long non-coding RNA is filed under the name Homo sapiens (human). RNAcentral's name for it is "HSALNT0253913". The record is from RNAcentral. Lineage: Eukaryota; Metazoa; Chordata; Mammalia; Primates; Hominidae.